Molecule: long non-coding RNA, 3011 nt
Organism: Dromaius novaehollandiae (emu)
Lineage: Eukaryota; Metazoa; Chordata; Aves; Casuariiformes; Dromaiidae
Exons: 4
Source: RefSeq, a predicted model, not a curated record
GCAUAAGCAAGGUCAAAGAUCGCUCAGUUUAAGGAACACCGGGAAACCAAAGCUGGGCCAGCAGCAAAGGCAAUUACUCAGUCCCAACCCAGAAUUUUGCACCUUGUCUGCUCUCCCCUCUUCGACUUACGUUGUUGCGAGACACCUGGGAGCGACAGGUAGGGCAGUGCUGCCCAAGCGUAUGGCUGAUCCGGCCCCGCGGAGGCAGCUCCCGCGCCAAGACCCCGCGGGCCCUGAUCCUCCGUGGACCCCGGUCCCGCGCACAGCUGAUCCUCCGCGGACCUUUAUGCAGGUUCAGAGCUGCAGUGACGGGCUCGAAAGAGCCCCGUACGUUCUCCAGGACCUGCGGGAGCCCAGCACGGAUAUCUUGUGGGUAACAGGAAAUUAGAUAUGCAAAGAGAUAGUUUCGUUUGAAAGUCGUUUAGGCAGUGGGAAGAUCCACAUGCUGCAGCUAAAUGGACUCUGGAUUUAACGACAUUAUUUUAAAAAAAUCAACUGAACAAAAACGUAAGGGCAACCUCCUCGGGAGGGGGAAUGCUUCUGUUCAGUAUAACCAGUGCUGUGGCCUCCACAGACUCCCUGAAAAAUGACAGUAAACUUUCAGCUAAUUCAGAAACCAGGAAAAUUGGAGAAUGAUACAAAUGAAGGAAGAUUUCCAAGCUCCCCAUGGCAAGCUGUGCACGUGGGAUUAUAAAAAAAAGCAGCCACUGAUGAGGGGCGUCCCGAGCCUGCACUGCCGCACAGUCCUCAGGGGGGAUUUCCUGAGAAGUGGGAGAUCCUAGGAGCAACCCUUCCUGCAACAGCCAUCGGCCAAUUAUUUAGUGGGAUACAGAAAUCUGCAUUCAGAGCAGCCGCUCCUGCACCCGACCCGACCUGCGGAGUUUGUGGGCAAAUAAACCACAGGGCCUGAAGGCUUGGCUUCUGUGGACAUCAAUGGAUUAGGAUCAGAUACUAAAAAUACAGCUGAAGAACUGAGAGCGACCAUUCGAUGGACUGAGUUGUUUAGCUUACUUCCCAGCAAGCGUAAGAAUAGAUCUCAGUUUUCCUGCCUGGAGACUGCAGCCUCUGACAGGCCCGGAGAUGUUAAGUGAGAAUAUAGUUUUCCAUGGCUGAAAACCUGAAUCAAGAAAGGAGAAAGCUGGUUCUCCUUCACUGCAGCCUCCAGGUGUCAAUUUGCUGGGUGAAGCCCGCUCAGCUCCGGCGGGAUUCCUGGUGGGAGCACCGCAGGGAGCAGCGCCGUGGGGAGCAGCGCCGUGGGGAGCAGCAUCGCGGGAGCAGCAUCACAGGGAGCAGCAUCGUGGGAGCAGCAUCGUGGGAGCAGCAUCACAGGGAGCAGCAUCGUGGGAGCAGCAUCGUGGGAGCAGCAUCACGGGGAGCAGCAUCGCGGGGAGCAGCGUCGUGGGAGCAGCGCUGUGUGGAGCAGCAUCGUGGGAGCAGCAUCACGGGGAGCAGCAUCGCGGGAGCAGCAUCGUGGGAGCAGCAUCACAGGGAGGAGCAUCACAGGGAGCAGCAUCACGGGGAGCAGCAUCGUGGGAGCAGUGCCACGGGGAGCAGCAUCGCGGGGAGCAGCGUCGUGGGAGCAGUGCUGUGUGGAGCAGCACCACGGGAGCAGCGGUGCCCUGGCGAUGGCCGGGACCCUGUGGCCGAGGCACAGGAGAGCCAUCCGCGGCACACCGGGUGCUGCGGGCCGCGAGCCCUCGCCGUGAGCCUGACACAGCUGGGUGCAACCGCGUGGGGCUGACGAAAGAGAGGGAAGAGCCCUGGAACAAAGGGUCUUUCAGGCCACCGAAUGCAGGGGAGAUCCAAGGGGACAAAUCCGCUUUACAGGCAUAGCUUAGAUUGUGAGAUAUGCUUGCAAAGCCAAUUUGUUUUGUUUUAUAGACUUGAAAGAUUCUAAGUCAGGGCUCCCUGUAUGGUUUGAAUUAGGUUUGGAUAGUGGUAUUCUGGGAAGCUGGAUUGGGAGACAUUUUCACGUGGGGGCUCGUAGUUGAGUCGGGGCCCUCUAGCACUUCCGCAAUGCUUUCAGAUAAAGUAGCCCAUGUAUGCCCCAAAACAAGGACUUUUGCCAUGGUUAAGAAAAUGGUGAAUACCUUAAAAUGGAGGUAUUCAUCUGGUAUCAGGUGUUUAGGAAUAUGGUUCCACACAUGCAUUGGCAGGGAAAGUGGGAAUUUCAAAAGGGUACUACUUUUAAAAAAGAGAAGGUAGCUCUUAGUAGCACCAGAACGGAUUUCUUUUUCUACCAGCUUGUAUCUCUGCUAUUGAAAAGGUCAUCAGCCUUUUUGCCUGUGACUAUGCAAAAUACAAAAGCUGUAGUGAGCUGCCGUGUAAAAGCAUAGCGGUGACAAAGCUUUGGCAGACGGACUCCGCGGUCUGCCAGGGGAGGCUCUCCCCCCCGGCCGUGGUGCAAAGCGCAGUUACUUUAUCAUACGUUUCCGAGGGACCCCGUUUCGGCCGCUUCUCUCUCUGCAGCACAGUCGUUGGAGCCAGUGCGUGGACACGAAGCGACGGCGCAGCGCGCCGGGGCUGCGGCUGUCGGAGGGGGACGGGGUCUCCCGCGGUGCCAGGCCCUGGCUGCCCCGCGCAGCCAGACGAGGGACGGGAGUACGGGGCCGCACGGCGCUCGCGGCCAGGGGAAGCAGCCGGGCCAGCACCAGGACCCCCGGCGGCGCCCCAGCCCGCCGGCACCGGGACGCUUCGGGCAGCCUUGGGCAGCGCAGGCCGUGCCCUGAAAGCCCACGGGCGUGCGGCGAGCGCUGCGGCCGCGGGACAGACCCCGCUCCCGCUGCCGCCACCGGGACCGUUCCCCGGGAAGGAGCACAAUCUUUGUUGAGUCAUUAAAGCAGAAAAAUAGAGAUGGAAUCUUAGGAAAUGCUUGAAAAGAUUAGGUGAUCUUAGCUCUAAGGAGCUAAACAAAUGCAAAGCAAUCCCCCCCCCAGCCCCUCGUGCUGCUGGAGAAUGUAAUCUCAUUUCUAAACACACAAUUAGAGAAAAUAAAAAGAAAAGAAAAGAAU